UCGUUUACUGCUGAAGUGUGAGUAUGCUCAACCUGAAUCUGACUCUCAACGACCUUCCUGCCUGGCGAUAGAGGGCCAACAGCCUUAUGGGUAACGUUACAGUCACGCCGCGAGUUAUUAUGGGAAAUGUAGUUUUACAGCAGACGUCUCAAAAGUCACGUACACUGAGACACAACAAUCAGAGUGAAUUUCGCGAGAAUAGCGAAGACUUGACUUGAAUAAUUAAUAUCCAAAUCAUUGUGCUACAAGUUUGAUCCCAGCAGAAAAUAGACCUUGGCUCUGACUGAAUGAACUGGAAAAGCAAGGACUUCUUAGAUUUCUCUUCGCCCACAACCGAGCAGAGACUGCAGGAUAAAAGAAAGCGUUACAUUCCUGACAAGACAGACUACAGUUUCCAUCUAAUCUUCUGGCUGUUGAUCUGAAGGCCUGUAGGGAGCAGUGUUGCGCAGACUCUGCCUCUAUGCCAGAGAUCAAGCUUCCCAAAUCAGAAUGUGCCUAAAAACCACCUAUAGCCCUAUUCUGCCUACAGGAAUAACUCCCAUUAUCUAUGUCUCCUGAGGCACUCUAAAAAUUAAAGUUCUGAAACAUUCCGCCCAAUCAAGCAAGCAUGGAUAGUCAUCAAUAUUUUUGGACCAUUUUUCCCAGAAGAGAAGAGUUGUACAUUUUAAAUGACAUUUUAAAGGGAUUUUGGGGGUAUGUUAGCAUUAGUGUGGUAUAAAAACUGACAUUCUGUAUAUAAAGUAAGAGCCAAAAAAUCUCAGUUGAGUUUAUUUCGCAUCUCUUGGGUGUCUCACCCACCUGCAUGGAAAUUCCUCUCAAGAGAAGAGACUUUCAGCAUUUAAAUGUAGAAGCAGAUAAGGUCUGUUAUUUCGAAGACAGUUUGCCCCUCCAGACCUACUGGAAGCAGCAGAAGAGUCAGUCAAGCUAGACGUUUAAGACAAGGUCUACAGGCCAUUAAUUAAACCCUGAACUGAAAAACUAGCCUGGUCUCACUUGAUAGGCAAGGAUGUCAAUGCACUUUCGCAAAAAUCAU
This is a long non-coding RNA of Sinocyclocheilus anshuiensis, 1033 nucleotides long. RefSeq lists it as uncharacterized. The record is from RefSeq and is a predicted model, not a curated record. Lineage: Eukaryota; Metazoa; Chordata; Actinopteri; Cypriniformes; Cyprinidae. The transcript is spliced from 3 exons.